ACUGACAUAUCCUGGUCCACAUUUUAUAUUAUCAAGUUUCAGUAGGUCUGAAGUUCUGAAAUCCAUAUUUCUAUUGGGAGUAGCAAGGGUAAAAGGAAAAAAAAGACCUAAUUUUCAGCAACAGUUUCAAGUGUUACAAGUGGAAGAAAAUGUUAUCAGCCUUGGCAAGCAAAGUGAACAGUAACAACAAAACUGCAUAUUUCUUUAGCAACUGAGAAAAGCACCUAAAAUAGAGGAAAGAGAAACAAUUCCAGCGAAAGACAAGUCCUCUUGCUACAAUACUCUGCACUGAUUUCCUGUUCAACACUUCUGAAUUAAGAUGAUGAAAAGUACAUCACCAAUUAUAUUCGCCAUAUGGCAAUAUCACAAAUAAAAAGUUUUUAAA
This is a long non-coding RNA of Pantherophis guttatus, 385 nucleotides long. RefSeq lists it as uncharacterized. Lineage: Eukaryota; Metazoa; Chordata; Lepidosauria; Squamata; Colubridae. The record is from RefSeq and is a predicted model, not a curated record.